RNAcentral lists this ribosomal RNA (207 nucleotides) under uncultured bacterium. RNAcentral describes it as "partial 16S ribosomal RNA". It matches the Rfam family "Bacterial small subunit ribosomal RNA", at positions 568 to 774 of the family's 1533-position model. The record is from RNAcentral.
CGCGUAGGCGGCUCGCUAAGCGUGCGGUGAAAGCCCGGGGCUCAACCCCGGGUCGGCCGUGCGAACUGGCGAGCUGGAGCACUGUAGAGGCGGGUGGAAUUCCGGGUGUAGCGGUGGAAUGCGUAGAGAUCCGGAAGAACACCGGUGGCGAAGGCGGCCCGCUGGGCAGUGGCUGACGCUGAGGCGCGACAGCGUGGGGAGCAAACA